This is a long non-coding RNA of Raphanus sativus (radish), 655 nucleotides long. RefSeq lists it as uncharacterized. The record is from RefSeq and is a predicted model, not a curated record. The transcript has 2 exons. Lineage: Eukaryota; Viridiplantae; Streptophyta; Magnoliopsida; Brassicales; Brassicaceae.
UAAACAAAACGAAAAAAGGUUGUCAAAUUGAUGAGAUAUGACUUUAAUAUAUUUGUUCUUUUCUAUCUUUUUCUUCUUGCCUUUUCAUUAUUUUUACCACCUACAUUUCCACAAUAUCUUUUCCUAAUAAUAUAUAUCUGCCUCUUCCUUUCAUCAUUGCGUUCUUGUCUCCUUCUCUUUCACUUUUAUGACCUUUGUAAAUUAUAAGCUGAUCAUCUCUCUUGUAAAAGGUAGCUAGGGUUCUUCUUAUGGAUUCCAUGUUCAUCUCUGAAGCUUUUUCUUUUGAGGGGAUUGUUGUCUGGCACGAGGCCCUUAACUCAGAUCUACGAUCGGUUAUAUAAUAUAUAAUAUGAACGAUCAGUAAGUGGUUGAUGACGUCGGACCAGGCUUCAUUCCCCUCAGUUACAUCGCUUCGUUCCUCCUUCGAGUCAUUUCCAGCUACCAAGUCUCGAGGGAUGAAUUAGCUAUUAAUUGCAAGUUAAGGUUGCUAAUCAAGAUCAGAAAGCUUUAUUACAAAAAAAAAAGAAAGAUCAGAUUCAUUCGUUGUGUAUAUCCUAUGUAAGUAAUGAAUGGCAAAAAAAUUAUCGUUUCGAACAUAACAGCAACCCGAGCUUUUGAAUGGCAGAAAUUUGAGAUCUAUAAUUAAGGUUUGUAA